Molecule: small nuclear RNA, 113 nt
Filed under: Suricata suricatta (meerkat)
Lineage: Eukaryota; Metazoa; Chordata; Mammalia; Carnivora; Herpestidae
Description: U2 spliceosomal RNA (ENSSSUG00005012785.1)
Rfam family: U2 spliceosomal RNA
About the family: U2 is a small nuclear RNA (snRNA) component of the spliceosome (involved in pre-mRNA splicing). Complementary binding between U2 snRNA (in an area lying towards the 5' end but 3' to hairpin I) and the branchpoint sequence (BPS) of the intron results the bulging out of an unpaired adenosine, on the BPS, which initiates a nucleophilic attack at the intronic 5' splice site, thus starting the first of two transesterification reactions that mediate splicing.
Source: Rfam by way of RNAcentral
AUCAUUUCUUGGCCUUUUGGCUAAGAUCAAACGUAGUAUCUGUUCUUACCAGUAUAAUGAAGCUACAGCCCAGUGCCUUAUCAAAAUAGUAAUUCAGUGCCUUCCAAACAAUU